UACGGAGGGGGCUAGCGUUGUUCGGAAUUACUGGGCGUAAAGCGCGCGUAGGCGGGCUGGCCAGUUGGGGGUGAAAUCCCGAGGCUUAACCUCGGAACUGCCCUCAAUACUGUCAGCCUCGAGUCCGGGAGAGGUGAGUGGAAUUCCUAGUGUAGAGGUGAAAUUCGUAGAUAUCUGGAGGAAUACCGGUGGCGAAGGCAGCUCGCUGGGACGGUACUGACGCUGAGACGCGAAAGCGUGGGGAGCAAACAGG
RNAcentral lists this unclassified non-coding RNA (253 nucleotides) under uncultured Alphaproteobacteria bacterium. RNAcentral describes it as "contains 16S-23S intergenic spacer region". It matches the Rfam family "Bacterial small subunit ribosomal RNA", at positions 524 to 776 of the family's 1533-position model. Lineage: Bacteria; Pseudomonadati; Pseudomonadota; Alphaproteobacteria. The record is from RNAcentral.